UGACCUCGGAUCAGGUAGGGAUACCCGCUGAACUUAAA
RNAcentral lists this ribosomal RNA (38 nucleotides) under Umbilicaria calvescens. Its description in RNAcentral is "partial 26S ribosomal RNA". Lineage: Eukaryota; Fungi; Ascomycota; Lecanoromycetes; Umbilicariales; Umbilicariaceae. The record is from RNAcentral.